AAAAUUAAAAUCAGAAUUACUAAAAUUAAAGCUUGUUAUUGUCUGUCUCUGGCGUAAGUAGCAAAAAGCUUUAUCGUUGGUAGUCAAAGUCCCAAAUUCAAAGCCUACUUGUUGCUUCUUCUUUCUAGCUAAAUUUAGUUUUUAAAAUGAACGAAAUGGAUCGGAGGUUAUCUUUCUCUCAGAAAAAUAAAAAUAAAUUG
This 200-nucleotide long non-coding RNA is filed under the name Ananas comosus (pineapple). Its description in RNAcentral is "long non-coding RNA (ACOM_LNC021717)". Lineage: Eukaryota; Viridiplantae; Streptophyta; Magnoliopsida; Poales; Bromeliaceae. The record is from RNAcentral.